This 484-nucleotide ribosomal RNA is filed under the name uncultured bacterium. RNAcentral's name for it is "partial 16S ribosomal RNA". It matches the Rfam family "Bacterial small subunit ribosomal RNA", at positions 29 to 523 of the family's 1533-position model. The record is from RNAcentral.
AGUGAACGCUGGCGGCGUGCUUAACACAUGCAAGUCGAACGAGAACGGAUUAUAGCUUGCUAUAAUUGUCAGCUAAGUGGCGCACGGGUGAGUAAUGUAUAGGUAAUAUGCCUCUUACUAAGGGAUAACAAAUGGAAACGUUUGCUAAUACCUUAUACUCCUUAUUAACAGAAGUUAAUAAGGGAAAGAUUUAUUGGUAAGAGAUUAGCCUGUAUUGUAUCAGUUAGUUGGUGGGGUAAUGGCUUACCAAGACUAUGACACAUAACUGGUUUGAGAGGAUGAUCAGUCACACUGGAACUGAGACACGGACCAGACUCCUACGGGAGGCAGCAGUGGGGAAUAUUGCACAAUGGACGAAAGUCUGAUGUAGCAACGCCGCGUGGAGGAUGACACAUUUCGGUGCGUAAACUCCUUUUAUAUGAGAAGAUAAUGACGGUAUUAUAUGAAUAAGCACCGGCUAACUCCGUGCCAGCCGCCGCAGUAA